AGCGAACGCUGGCGGCAGGCUUAACACAUGCAAGUCGAGCGCCCCGCAAGGGGAGCGGCAGACGGGAGAGUAACACGUGGGAACAUACCUUUUGGUUCGGAACAACUGAGGGAAACUUCAGCUAAUACCGGAUAAGCCCUUACGGGGAAAGAUUUAUCGCCGAAAGAUUGGCCCGCGUCUGAUUAGCUAGUUGGUGAGGUAACGGCUCACCAAGGCGACGAUCAGUAGCUGGUCUGAGAGGAUGAUCAGCCUCACUGGGACUGAGACACGGCCCAGACUCCUACGGGAGGCAGCAGUGGGGAAUAUUGGACAAUGGGGGCAACCCUGAUCCAGCCAUGCCGCGUGAGUGAUGAAGGCCUUAGGGUUGUAAAGCUCUUUUACCCGGGAAGAUAAUGACGGUACCGGGAGAAUAAGCCCCGGCUAACUUCGUG
RNAcentral lists this ribosomal RNA (431 nucleotides) under uncultured bacterium. RNAcentral's name for it is "partial 16S ribosomal RNA". It matches the Rfam family "Bacterial small subunit ribosomal RNA", at positions 29 to 507 of the family's 1533-position model. The record is from RNAcentral.